GUAACUUGCAGUUCACAAGCUUUUGAAGUUGCUUCCAUUUAUUUCGUUGUUUUAAAACAUGUUUGCAUGUUUGAUCUUGUCCUGGCUGUGGUCUUCCAAAACUCUCAAUGUAUUUCUCAGCUGUGGCACUGGGGUUGUUUUUUUUCUUUUUAACUGAGGUGGUUUAAAAAGGCAGAUAGAGAAGGAAUAAAAGACUUGGUGUCUCUUCCAUCUGGUCCUGUGACCUUUUUUGUCUUUAGGUGAGAUGUUUGGAGACUCCCAUUACUUUUGGAGCCAAGCAGAACCCAAACAAGAGGAAAACUUUUCUACUGAGCAGUGAUACACUGAACAGAGAUUUCCUUCUGAUGGCCAGAUUUAUCUACCCUGUAAUAGAAGUAAAAGUGUUCCUGCUCCACUGCUUACAAUUUUUCUAACUGGGCUUCUGUAACUGUAGCACAGAAAAGGCAUGGGGAGAAACUUGGAACAGAUAUUCUCAUUCUCUUAGCUAGCCCAUUUUACAUUCUUACCUGGUUUGCAAUUUAAAGAGUUGCUGACAGAGGGCUUGUGUAGGCUGCAAAUGCACCAGUGCUAAACAUGGGUUAACUGGAAGUCAUCACUGGAGUUUCACCUUUGAAGCUGAAUGUGCCUUGAGGACAUAUCUUCUGCUCCAGACUUCAAGAGUGUGCCCUCAUCUGUGCCUGUAGGAACCACAGGUAAGCUCCAAAUACACUUUGUCCUCUCACUAUCUAUCUGCAAUUAAAGUGCUUGUUUUAAAACCUUAUGGCAUGGCCUGUUGUACCUAGCAAAACCUUUGAAAUGGUGUUUCUCCCCUCUUGUAUCUCAGUAGUACUGUAUUCAUCAUAAACUCCCAGUCACUGUAGAUACCUGAAAGAAAGCAGUGUCCCAGCUUGAGGUCAGAGUACAAGUUUUAUUAUGCUUUUAAGUAGUGAUAGCAUUUUCUUAUUUCUAGAACAGCAUAUGACAGACACAUCUGCUUGUAAACAUACGGGAUGUUUUUCUUAACACUGCUGAUUCUCUGCUAUUCUUUCCUUCUGACAAUUCAGCAAACAGAAGGCAGGUGUGAGGACUUUUGGCAAUAAAGUUUGUGGAACUUGUUAUUAAAAAAACAAAACACAAUUAAAUGGUGGUCUUUGUUACAUGAGAGAGUGAGCUGCAUGCAGAACUCAAUGGGGAAUUUUUGAGACGGAGAGUGCACAGAACAAACCAGGGUUUUAUCUCCCCUUGUAUCUUGUAAUUACGAUUGGAAAAGACCUGACCCUCAAAAGGCAGGUUCCUUUAGUCACUGGGGAAACCUUGUGUCUAUCAUCAUAGACUGGUUUGGGUUGGAAGGGACCUUAAGGAUCAUACAGUUCCAACCCCUCUACCAGAGAGGCAGGGCCACCUGCCGUUAGACCAGGUUGCUUAAAGUCCUGUCCAACCUGGCCUUGAACACUUUCAGGGAUAGGGCAGCUACAGCUUCUCUGGGCAACCUCUGACAGUGUCUCACCACCCACAUAGUGAAAAAUUUCUUCCUAAUAAAUAUCUAAUUCACUGUAAAAUAGCAAGUCCCUAUUUCCAUGAGAAAAAUUCCACCUCUGGUCAGUCAGUGCAGCAGCUCCAGGUUAAUAGAAACUGGAAGCCAGAUGGGUCUGGCUGCAAAAGGGUGCUGGGUUCAUUUCUUUGUGCAGGAUGGAGCUUGUGAAUGUAACUGUGUCAGCACUUCAUUUGUCAGUUGCAGUUGCCCAGGCUAAGUGAGCCAAAUUACUCAUUGUUGGACAUUCCUUAUGGUUCGUGUAAGUAGCUGCUUUCUGGCUCAAGCCAUCCUAUUUGCUGCAUCUUCCACAUUCAUAGAGCUUGAUGAAACCAAAUUUCUAGAUGCAUGAAGGAAGAUGUCCUAUUACACUGUUGGUUUAUGUUACUUAGACUUGUUUCUAGAUGAGCAGAGGCUAAUCUCUAAGGACAUCACUGCACCAGCACCUAUCUGAGAUUAAAAUGCAAGAAAUACUUGCAAUCAAACCAGUUUAAUUCAUGUAUAUUUGUACAAUUUGUAUAAAAAAGAAAAAAAAAUAGGUACUUGCAGACAUUAACAUAAAGACCAAACAGUAUUUUCUAUUUAUUUAAAAAGCUUUAAACAUACAGAAGCAAAUCCCUAAUUAUAAAUGCAUCAUUAUGCAUAGAUUUUACUGUUUACACCAUACUGCUGGCUGCUUUUCUUUUUCAUCCAGGAAUCUAUUUAAACUCCAAGAAUUCUUAAACAUUCCUCUGAGCUUCCUGGCCUCAGAACUGCUGUCUAUCAAUCAUCUUAUCAAGUCAUUGACCUCCAGCUGAAAACAUUGCUCUAAAAAAAGAAAGAGUCAAAUCUUUAAUAAACAAUUAAAAGUGCAUUAACUGUAGAAUUGUUUAAUUUCAUAAAUGUUUAAACAAGUCAGUGAAAAACACCACCCUGUGAAUUAGCUUUUUGCAUUAUUGAUUGUAAAGUUACUUUUUUAAUAAGAUUCUGCUAUUGCAAACCGUAGUCUCUUCUAGUUUACUCUGCGCAACCACUGAGUCGCACACCGUGUAGUAUUCCUGAAAUACCCACUGCAGAACAUUUAACACUAUUUUACAUUUUUAACUGUGUAUACAAUCCGCUUGCUCCAUAUCCCUGUUCCUUCUUAACACCAAAAUAAUUCAGCUCAAUGAACAGAAGCCCACUCCUAAAAGGUCUUUUAGGUUAUGUCUUGUAUUUUGCAGGAGACAAAUGCCUAUUUCACUCUAAACAAAUGCAAAAGAAGGGAACUUUCCCUGGCAGCUAAAAACUAGGGUUGUUGGUUUCUUUCUUUUUCUUUGCUGUACACAGGUUUAGAUAAAAAAAGUGAUGGCUAUUCUGCUUAAGUGUCCUUGCUAAGAGAAUACUGCCUCUUACAACAUCUAUAUCCAAUUAUAUCUAUUAUUUCAAUGAUCUCUUGCAAAAAAUAAUAAUCAAUGAAUGGUUUCAUAAACAACAGGUGAUUAAAGUAAAGGAUUUAUUAUAAUCUGCUUACAGUUGUUUGCAAAGACAGACAUAACGUUUUUGCAUAAAGAUAUAAAUUGCUUUUUAAAACUAAUUUAGUGUGUUUAAUUAUAUGAAGUUUCUGUGAAUUAUGAAUUGUACCAAACCAAGAUUAAAAGUAAUAAGGUACAAAAAUAGGAGCAAACAGACAACAAUUUGGACUGGGACAGGCAUUUAACAGUGAAGUGUAGAAUAUGGCUUUGCUAGUUUAAUCAAGCAAAGUUACUCUGAGACAGAAAAGGAGGCAGUAACUUUGUUAAUAUAAAAAGCUGCUGCAGACUGUAUUCACCCAGAACCUGGCUUUGAGAUUUCCUAUUUUAGACUUUUUAAAAAAAAACGUAAAUGAAAAGAUGGAUGUAGUAGGACUGUGUCUUUACUGUAAACAACUAGUCUGCAUGCUGUGUAUCUCACGUUGGAAGUUUGGCUUUCAUAUUGCUGUGCAGGUCAGUAUUGAAAGAUCUGCCUAUGAAUUAGACUUCCAAAAUGCAAAUAAUAUGUGUAUGCAUAUAUUUAUAUAUAAAAAAGUCUCUCUGAAUACAGUCUUUACAGAUUCCCCAUUGCAUAAGGCAGGUGUCAUUUAAAAAGACAAUUAGCACUGACUGGCUUCAGUGCACUAAAGCGCACCUCAGAAUUUGGACUCGGAAAGGGUGUAGAAUUCUGCAUUCAACCACCUUUUGAAAGAAAUGCUACAUUCUGACCAGCCAGAGGACAAACUAGUGCUCCAAUAUACCAGUGGCACCCAGAGAGAACACUACAGGACUGUGAAAAACUGUUAUCGUUAAACAUGAGCAUAUGGUAGCAACAGUUGAGCCUCAGAAAAGUUCACCUGUCCUCUAUUCUACUCCAAAAUUUUGUAUUUGCUUAUAAAUUGUGAAACAAUGAAAAUCACCUCAAAAAGUUGGUUUUUUCUUUGCAGUCUUACUCUAGAGAAAACGUUUUUGAGACAAAAUCAGACUGAGUUGAACUUGUAGUGUGAACAUUUGUCUUCUCAGAUGUAUUCUGAUUAUUACAAAAACACUUACAAAAUUACAUGCGGUUUUAGUUUAUCACUAAAAAUUCCACUCAGCUUGCCUGCCCUUAGCAGCACCUUACCACCCCCCUCACCAGGACAAAUCUGUUCCGUAUACUUACUUACUGUAAUGAUCUGCAUGUUCCCUUCGUCAUAAUCAGAAAUUGCUCUCCCCCCAUCUGAAAUAAUAAUCUGACCUUUUAAGAUGCCUAAUGUAUCCAGUAUUCAAAGGAAAACCAAACAAUCUGGGAAGCCUUAAUAAAAAAAGAGAAAUCAUUCAACAUCUUAUUCACCCCUGUUCCCCUGAGAGAGAAAGGGAACUGAGGGCAAGAACUCACUAUAUCAUUAAGCUGGCAAAAGCUUUGGAGAGACUGUAAUUUGUCUUGUUAAAUGAAACCUUGGUAAAAUGGCAAACACAACAGAGUGUAGUUUCCUACAGAAAUAUGAAGCAGGAGUUUGAAGAUGUGCUCGAGUCACAUACUCUUGCAAGCGAGACGAAAGGGAGAAAAAUAUAGAGGGGAAAUAGAAAGGCUUAAAUACAACUGAAAAGGUUAAGUGUGGUUAUUUACAACAGAUACUGUAGGAUGGUAAAUUAGAUAUGAUGCUAAAAAAGGCACAGCUUUCCCUUUCUUAAAUACACUGUAAACGGUUCAUUAUGCAUGCAGAACAUUUCACUUUACAAAAAAAUUACCUUGUUUGUUUAGACAAAGAUAGUACUUAAAUAGUCUCCAGCAAAAUAGAGUUCUUUCAAAAAUACUUUCCCAUUCAUCCUAUUAACCAUUAAAGAGUUUUUUUUGUCUCAUUUACAAAAGUUCCUUACACCUUAUUUCAGGUCCUUCACAAUUUAUACAUACAGCAAUGUACAGUACAGCAAAAGACUGCAAAAAAUUAUUUGUAAAGCCAGCACAAUAGAUACUAUAAAUUGAUACCAGGGCAUUUGUUUUCGCAUCUCAUCCUUUGUAAUUAAAUAGUAAAUGGACACUUAACACAGUGUAUAGCAUCUAUGAUGGGAUAACAUGAGAUAACAAAUGCCGCAGGUGGGGAUAACAGAGUAUUCCACACCAAAUGUUCUGUUUUUACUUUACACAUUAGGGUUUGUGUGUGUGUAUAUAUGUGUGUAUAUAUAUAGGUUUUGUUUUUGUCUUUUUUUCUUUUUUU
Molecule: long non-coding RNA, 5177 nt
Organism: Pezoporus occidentalis (night parrot)
Lineage: Eukaryota; Metazoa; Chordata; Aves; Psittaciformes; Psittacidae
Exons: 2
Source: RefSeq, a predicted model, not a curated record